Molecule: ribosomal RNA, 429 nt
Filed under: Gemmatimonadota bacterium
Lineage: Bacteria; Pseudomonadati; Gemmatimonadota
Description: Gemmatimonadetes bacterium partial 16S ribosomal RNA
Rfam family: Bacterial small subunit ribosomal RNA
Source: RNAcentral
UAGGGAAUCUUCGGCAAUGGACGAAAGUCUGACCGAGCAACGCCGCGUGAGUGAAGAAGGUUUUCGGAUCGUAAAACUCUGUUGUUAGAGAAGAACAAGGACGUUAGUAACUGAACGUCCCCUGACGGUAACUAACCAGAAAGCCACGGCUAACUACGUGCCAGCAGCCGCGGUAAUACGUAGGUGGCAAGCGUUGUCCGGAUUUAUUGGGCGUAAAGCGAGCGCAGGCGGUUUCUUAAGUCUGAUGUGAAAGCCCCCGGCUCAACCGGGGAGGGUCAUUGGAAACUAGGGGACAUGAGUGCAGAAGAGGUGAGUGGAAGUCCAUGUGUAGCGGUGAAAUGCGUAGAUAUAUGGAGGAACACCAGUGGCGAAGGCGGCUCUCUGGUCUGUAACUGACGCUGAGGCUCGAAAGCGUGGGGAGCAAACAGG